Molecule: long non-coding RNA, 2535 nt
Filed under: Oryzias javanicus (javanese ricefish)
Lineage: Eukaryota; Metazoa; Chordata; Actinopteri; Beloniformes; Adrianichthyidae
Description: lncRNA (ENSOJAG00000011840.1)
Source: RNAcentral
GUUCCUCUGAAGAAGUGUUGUUUCUCUGCUCUCAAUCAAGCAAAGACGCAUAAAAAAAGUGCUGGUGUUGCAGUGAGGCUUCACAACGAGAGACACGGGCUGCUUUAAUACGAAUCCUGUGGCUCUCGGGACGAUGAAGAACACCUUUGUCUGUGAUGAAUCCAUGAUCAUCACCAUUCCUGUUGGACCAUCUUGACGGUCUCUAGUUUUUAUCAAUGAUCGCUUCAAGGUCCUUGUCAUCAAGGGGAAAGCUCAGCCACUCGGAGUAAGUUCAAUGGAGGAAAUGGUAUUGCAGAGUCAAAAAUUAUGCUUUUUUCUGUCAUUGUGUGGAAAUAGAAAAACUUUCAUCAAGUUUACAAAAAUGUUAUUAACCAGUAUUUGCAUUGUCUGUUUUGUUUUCAUUAAAAUUAGGCAGCCCAAGCUGUCUUUGGUCUGCUUCUUUGUGCUCUUGCACUGGUUUUCUAUGAUACAUAUUUUUGGAUCUUUACAAUUCCAAGCAUUGUGUUUGUGAUCUGUGGCGGGUUGUCCUUUGCCGCUGGGAAAUGUCCAAACAUGAUUGUGGCAAAGCUGUCAUUUUCCCUGAACAUUCUGAGUUUAUGUUGGUCAAUUACAUCAUUUGUUUUGAAUCUGAUAAUCUUGAUCGAACAUUACUGGUACCCCUCAUAUUAUCCAUAUUAUAGGAGAAAUGAAGAAAUCCUAGCUCUGAUAUUGAGUCUGCUGGUUAUUGAAUUUUUCAUCUGCAUUUUCCUGAUCUACUGGUUGAGUAAAGCCAUUUGCAGACAACACUUUAAUAUGCUGGUAGGUAUUUCUAUGCUUAGUGUUUCUUCAGUGUUACUCAUGCAAAGAACAAAUGUAGUUUUGAUUCUCCUUCUUUACUCUGCAGCCGACUAUAGUGCUGAAACGAGGAAACUGAUAUUUGAAGAUCGGAGAGAAUCAAGAGUCAACAUCGUGUAUGCUGUACUUUGCUUGUAAAACUCAGCAAUUGUUUUCAUGUCAGAUUUCAUUUUAUGCACAGCGGUAAGGAGGUCGACUCUUGAUCAAAGCAUUGCAGGUUUGACUCCUGCCUUACCGGCCCAUGUGUCGAAGUGUCCUUGGGCAAGACACUGAACCCCAAAUUGUCUCUGGUUGAAGGUCGGCGCCAGUGUUCGGCAGCGGAGCAACCAUCAGUGUGUGAAUGUGUCUAAGACUGUAAAGCGCUUUGGGCCUUCAAAGAAAGGUAGAAACGUGCUAAAUAAGUAUACACCAUAUUACUGUAAAAUACCCACAGAGAUAGAAUCUGUUGUUUAUAGGACACUUUUUGAUUCAGCAGUGAGAUCAAUAAAGUUUACAUCUAAUCUCAUCUCCUCUGAGGAGAAUUUUGUCUUUACCUUGUUGCAAAACUUUUACUUCAUUGCUUAAAACUGCAAGUUGUCAAGAAAAGACAACUUUAAAGUGAAAAGUGACAUGAAAAGGAAAAAGGCAGGAUCUCAAGUGUGUCUGAGCAGCUCCUGGUAGGAAUCCAUGUUUUUAUCUGUAUACGUCAUUGUCAUUUUUUCACUAACUAAAUAAUGAUUAAAUUGGUCUAGAUUUUUCCUAUAUUUGGAAACUGUUAUUUUUGUCAAUAAUUGAUUCAACAGACUUGACAUAACAUUUCAGUGAGUCUGAUCAUUUAAAACUUUUUAUGUUGAUGAAAAUAAUUUCCCAUUUAUUUCUGCCUUUAAGAGUAAGAAAACUAUGGUGAUAAUAUCCUAAUGUUGAUAAAAUCCGUCCAAACAAUCAUCAACUUAAGGUUCGAUAUGUCAGACUGCUUUGAGAAUUCAAUUUAUAUCAUUUUGAAGCAACAUUAAUUCAAUUCAUAUACUAUAAUCUGGUUUUUAAGAUUUUAAUUUAAUCAAAUGUGUCAGGGAUGGUGGUGGAGGACCCAAAUGCAGGAGACCAGACUUGGUGGCAGAAACAUAAAAGUUUACUGAAUCAACUAAAACAUGACAAAACCAGGAGGACAGAACAUAGAAGAGCAGAUGACCUGACAAUGAGAAACUGAAAACCAGACACUUAAAUACACUGAGGUUGAUUAACUAAAUGAAGACAGCUGUGGAUGGUUAACCUGAACAUGGGGAAAAUGACAGGUAAAACAGAAGAUGACAAAACCUAAGCACAGAAUCAUGACAAAAUGAACCUGUAUUAUCGAUAAAAUACUUAAUAUGGAAUUAAUUACAACAGGAUCUGUGUUGGUGAAGCAAAAAUUUGAUCUGGGUCUAUAUGCUAAACUUUACUUCAGUAAAUGUCACUUAACAAAACUCUUUUAAAUUCACUGAAUUAUAAUAGAAGCACAACUAUUUCUGUCUUAGUUAAGUAACAAAUACUUGAACGUGUGGAUAGCACUUGCUUCUUAUACUUCUUAUACGGUGCAAAAUGUUCGUGAUGUUUGUGUGCACUUGCAUCACUCUGGGAGAUAAGGCUUUUUAAACUUAAACAAAAAAGUUGCUGACAUGAAAGGAGGAAGUUCUGAAAACUUAAUUUAUGUACAAAGUAAAUAGUAAAUUCUUCAAUAAAGAU